GGGUUGUGAGGUUAAGCGACUAAGCGUACACGGUGGAUGCCCUGGCAGUCAGAGGCGAUGAAGGACGUGCUAAUCUGCGAUAAGCGUCGGUAAGGUGAUAUGAACCGUUAUAACCGGCGAUUUCCGAAUGGGGAAACCCAGUGUGUUUCGACACACUAUCAUUAACUGAAUCCAUAGGUUAAUGAGGCGAACCGGGGGAACUGAAACAUCUAAGUACCCCGAGGAAAAGAAAUCAACCGAGAUUCCCCCAGUAGCGGCGAGCGAACGGGGAGCAGCCCAGAGCCUGAAUCAGUGUGUGUGUUAGUGGAAGCGUCUGGAAAGGCGCGCGAUACAGGGUGACAGCCCCGUACACAAAAAUGCACAUGCUGUGAGCUCGAUGAGUAGGGCGGGACACGUGGUAUCCUGUCUGAAUAUGGGGGGACCAUCCUCCAAGGCUAAAUACUCCUGACUGACCGAUAGUGAACCAGUACCGUGAGGGAAAGGCGAAAAGAACCCCGGCGAGGGGAGUGAAAAAGAACCUGAAACCGUGUACGUACAAGCAGUGGGAGCACGCUUAGGCGUGUGACUGCGUACCUUUUGUAUAAUGGGUCAGCGACUUAUAUUCUGUAGCAAGGUUAACCGAAUAGGGGAGCCGAAGGGAAACCGAGUCUUAACUGGGCGUUAAGUUGCAGGGUAUAGACCCGAAACCCGGUGAUCUAGCCAUGGGCAGGUUGAAGGUUGGGUAACACUAACUGGAGGACCGAACCGACUAAUGUUGAAAAAUUAGCGGAUGACUUGUGGCUGGGGGUGAAAGGCCAAUCAAACCGGGAGAUAGCUGGUUCUCCCCGAAAGCUAUUUAGGUAGCGCCUCGUGAAUUCAUCUCCGGGGGUAGAGCACUGUUUCGGCAAGGGGGUCAUCCCGACUUACCAACCCGAUGCAAACUGCGAAUACCGGAGAAUGUUAUCACGGGAGACACACGGCGGGUGCUAACGUCCGUCGUGAAGAGGGAAACAACCCAGACCGCCAGCUAAGGUCCCAAAGUCAUGGUUAAGUGGGAAACGAUGUGGGAAGGCCCAGACAGCCAGGAUGUUGGCUUAGAAGCAGCCAUCAUUUAAAGAAAGCGUAAUAGCUCACUGGUCGAGUCGGCCUGCGCGGAAGAUGUAACGGGGCUAAACCAUGCACCGAAGCUGCGGCAGCGACGCUUAUGCGUUGUUGGGUAGGGGAGCGUUCUGUAAGCCUGCGAAGGUGUGCUGUGAGGCAUGCUGGAGGUAUCAGAAGUGCGAAUGCUGACAUAAGUAACGAUAAAGCGGGUGAAAAGCCCGCUCGCCGGAAGACCAAGGGUUCCUGUCCAACGUUAAUCGGGGCAGGGUGAGUCGACCCCUAAGGCGAGGCCGAAAGGCGUAGUCGAUGGGAAACAGGUUAAUAUUCCUGUACUUGGUGUUACUGCGAAGGGGGGACGGAGAAGGCUAUGUUGGCCGGGCGACGGUUGUCCCGGUUUAAGCGUGUAGGCUGGUUUUCCAGGCAAAUCCGGAAAAUCAAGGCUGAGGCGUGAUGACGAGGCACUACGGUGCUGAAGCAACAAAUGCCCUGCUUCCAGGAAAAGCCUCUAAGCAUCAGGUAACAUCAAAUCGUACCCCAAACCGACACAGGUGGUCAGGUAGAGAAUACCAAGGCGCUUGAGAGAACUCGGGUGAAGGAACUAGGCAAAAUGGUGCCGUAACUUCGGGAGAAGGCACGCUGAUAUGUAGGUGAGGUCCCUCGCGGAUGGAGCUAAAAUCAGUCGAAGAUACCAGCUGGCUGCAACUGUUUAUUAAAAACACAGCACUGUGCAAACACGAAAGUGGACGUAUACGGUGUGACGCCUGCCCGGUGCCGGAAGGUUAAUUGAUGGGGUCAGCGCAAGCGAAGCUCUUGAUCGAAGCCCCGGUAAACGGCGGCCGUAACUAUAACGGUCCUAAGGUAGCGAAAUUCCUUGUCGGGUAAGUUCCGACCUGCACGAAUGGCGUAAUGAUGGCCAGGCUGUCUCCACCCGAGACUCAGUGAAAUUGAACUCGCUGUGAAGAUGCAGUGUACCCGCGGCAAGACGGAAAGACCCCGUGAACCUUUACUAUAGCUUGACACUGAACAUUGAGCCUUGAUGUGUAGGAUAGGUGGGAGGCUUUGAAGUGUGGACGCCAGUCUGCAUGGAGCCGACCUUGAAAUACCACCCUUUAAUGUUUGAUGUUCUAACGUUGACCCGUAAUCCGGGUUGCGGACAGUGUCUGGUGGGUAGUUUGACUGGGGCGGUCUCCUCCUAAAGAGUAACGGAGGAGCACGAAGGUUGGCUAAUCCUGGUCGGACAUCAGGAGGUUAGUGCAAUGGCAUAAGCCAGCUUGACUGCGAGCGUGACGGCGCGAGCAGGUGCGAAAGCAGGUCAUAGUGAUCCGGUGGUUCUGAAUGGAAGGGCCAUCGCUCAACGGAUAAAAGGUACUCCGGGGAUAACAGGCUGAUACCGCCCAAGAGUUCAUAUCGACGGCGGUGUUUGGCACCUCGAUGUCGGCUCAUCACAUCCUGGGGCUGAAGUAGGUCCCAAGGGUAUGGCUGUUCGCCAUUUAAAGUGGUACGCGAGCUGGGUUUAGAACGUCGUGAGACAGUUCGGUCCCUAUCUGCCGUGGGCGCUGGAGAACUGAGGGGGGCUGCUCCUAGUACGAGAGGACCGGAGUGGACGCAUCACUGGUGUUCGGGUUGUCAUGCCAAUGGCACUGCCCGGUAGCUAAAUGCGGAAGAGAUAAGUGCUGAAAGCAUCUAAGCACGAAACUUGCCCCGAGAUGAGUUCUCCCUGACCCUUUAAGGGUCCUGAAGGAACGUUGAAGACGACGACGUUGAUAGGCCGGGUGUGUAAGCGCAGCGAUGCGUUGAGCUAACCGGUACUAAUGAACCGUGAGGCUUAACCUUACAACGCCGAAGGUGUUU
RNAcentral lists this ribosomal RNA (2931 nucleotides) under Escherichia coli. Its description in RNAcentral is "bacterial LSU rRNA". It matches the Rfam family "Bacterial large subunit ribosomal RNA". Lineage: Bacteria; Pseudomonadati; Pseudomonadota; Gammaproteobacteria; Enterobacterales; Enterobacteriaceae. The record is from RNAcentral.